GAUGAACGCUGGCGGCGUGCCUAAUACAUGCAAGUCGAACGAACAGACGAGGAGCUUGCUCCUCUGACGUUAGGGGCGGACGGGUGAGAAACGCGUGUAUAACCUACCUAUAAUACGGGUAUAACUUCGGAAAACGGGAGCAAAUACCGGAGAAUAUAUUGAACCGCGUUGUUGAAUGGUGAAAUACGGUUGUUCGGUCACUUAUAGAUGGAUCCGCGCUGGAUUGGAUGGUUGUUAAGGUAACGGCUUACGAAGGCAACGAUGCGUAGCCGACCUGAGAGGGGGAUCGGCGACACUGGAACUGAGACACGGUCAAGACUCCUACGGGAGGCAGCAGUCGGGAACGUUACGCAACGGGCGAGAGCUUGACGGAGCAACGCGGCGUGAGUGAUGACGGUCUUGCGAUCGUAAAACCCUGUUAUGAGGGAAAAACCAAUGUGUACGUAAAUAUGCAGGUAUUGACGGUAACUAAUAAGAAAGCACCGGCUAACUACGUG
Molecule: ribosomal RNA, 497 nt
Filed under: uncultured bacterium
Lineage: Bacteria
Description: partial 16S ribosomal RNA
Rfam family: Bacterial small subunit ribosomal RNA
Source: RNAcentral